GUGGCUCAGUGGUAGAACAUUUGAUUAAAAUGCAUGAGGCCUGGGUUCAAUUCCCAGC
This 58-nucleotide transfer RNA is filed under the name Dipodomys ordii (Ord's kangaroo rat). It matches the Rfam family "tRNA", at positions 7 to 64 of the family's 71-position model. Rfam says of the family: Transfer RNA (tRNA) molecules are approximately 80 nucleotides in length. The record is from Rfam by way of RNAcentral. Lineage: Eukaryota; Metazoa; Chordata; Mammalia; Rodentia; Heteromyidae.